RNAcentral lists this long non-coding RNA (1494 nucleotides) under Homo sapiens (human). RNAcentral's name for it is "non-protein coding PCAT6:6". The record is from RNAcentral. Lineage: Eukaryota; Metazoa; Chordata; Mammalia; Primates; Hominidae.
ACGCCCCAGAGGCCGGACCUGGGCAACCCCAGCCUGGAGGUGCCGGGGCCGGAGCUCCCAGAGGGCUGGGUGCGAGGCCUAGGCGGGGUCAGGUUCGGGUUCCUAGGCCAUAGCGGAGCUGCAGCCCAGGCGGCCGGAGCGGAACCCAGCCCCGCUCCGAGUGCCACGUCUCCAGGAACCCCCUCCUUACUCUUGGACAACACUCCGCCCCCGCCCGGGCCUCCGUCCCCCAAACCGCCCUCAUUUGUGCAGCGCCAGAUCCUUCGGACACAUCCCUAGGUGUCUCCAUCCUCAUUCGGUCCAUCCAACUCCCAGACCUCACGUCAACCGGCUGCACCCCACUUUCCAGCCUGCGCCCCAGAUCUGCAGCCUUCGCCCCUAGAUACACCCGCCUGGUGAUGAGGCGCUCCUCGCGUUCCUUCCGGGCUCCAGGUGUCCGUGAGCCUCCCUUCCGCCCUGGCCUCCGGUCUCUGCCUUGCUCGUGCUUCUACCACCACCCUUCCCCUCCCAACCCGGUGGAUCCUCUCGUCUCCCCCAGUCUCCAGUGCACCGGCUUUCCCUCGUCCUCUGCGCAGUCCAUCUCAGCUCAUCUCUCCAAUUCAAUGCCAUCAUCUCUCCUCACCAUCUCUCGGUGCCCUGGAAUGUUUGCUGUCAGAUGUCCCCUGUGAAACCCACAAACGCUUGCGAUUUGGCCUCCUUGUUUUAUUUUGUGUAGUCCUACAACGUCUUGUUACUACCCCCUAUUACAACACUUAUAACUCAGUAUUUGUCUUUUUUCCGCGGUGUCCCUGCACUCUCCCCAUACAUAUUCCUCUCCUGCCAGAUUGUAAGCCUCUAGAGGGAAGAAGUAAUGUCUCUCUCCUUGGCACCAGGCACGUGGCACACGCUCCACAAAUAUUUGUUGAAAGGGAGGGUAAAUGGCCUUGAGUUUCUGUGGCUACCAUUGGCUGAGGAUGGAGCUUUGGGCUGGACAAAGAAGAAUCUGGUUGACCACAUGAAGCAGGAAGGAGGCUCAGAACGGUGUUGAGGGAGCCUCCACAAUGGGUGGGCACCACAGGUGAGAUAAACCCAUCCUCCCCCAUUCCCUGCCCUGCUUAAUUCCCGGGAACCAGCAACCCCUCCUAUGCUAUCGUCUACUGCUGAGCUGGUCCCUUAUGGUGGACUUCUGUGCUCACUGUUCUGCUUUAGCCCCAGCUGUCGGGGCUGCCCUUGGGGAACAGCUUACACCUUGACCAGGCGCUCAUUUCUGGGUUUCUGUUCUUGGGAAGCUGGGUCUGGGUCCUGGGAGCCACCUGGUAACUAAUAAAUACCUCUUCCUCCUCCCAUCUGCUCUUCCUCUCCUGUCCUGGAAUCCCUCUCUGAUGACUCAGCCCAACUGAGAUCCAGGGUAACUGCACCCUCAGUCCUGGGCUUUGGUUUACCUGGGUGUGGGGCUCAAAGGGCUAGACCCUUGUGGGGGUCAGGCGCUGACAAGUGGAACAUUCCCACGGUGCU